GUAAAUACCUGGCCUCAUCAGUGUAAAUUUCCAUCUGUUUCAGUGCUCAUGUGCAGUCAGUUGUUCACUAGAUUUCAGUAGCCAAGGGCUGUUCAGUUUGUGCUCCGGAGCCUCGUCCGCACUCUGCUCUUUGUUUAAACCAACCGUGUCUGAAAUCUAUAUUUCACGUUUUUAUCACAUUUACCGUUGUAGAUAUAUGCCGGAAAUGAUACGUAUUUCAUUUCUGUAUGUAACACAAUGUUUGUGUUCAAAAUAUUAAUGUUUUACAAAUGAAAACGGUACUUUGCUAUUUCGUAUAAUUCACAGCGGACGUUCUGCCAUCAUCUAGGCUGCUCGUCGCCUCACCGUAGCACCAAGCGUUUCAUCCGAAACUCAGGGUUACAAUGCAGCCAGUUGCACGGGGGAUUUUUCAUCCUGAUUAUUGCUACGUGUAAAUACUUAGUGCUGCUCAGAAAUGUAACGGUGGGCGAAUUACAGCUGGGAUUCCUUCGACCUCCAGAGAAGUGUCCUUAAUCAGUAGGUUUCGUGAAACGGAAGGCUCGAACCGAGAGCCUGAGAACGAAGGAGGAGCGAUCUGGCCGUGAUUGAUCGGGCUCAUGCUGAGCUCAGUAUCCUCUAGCGUCCGUGCUUCCCUCGGCGAUGUGGCCCAAGCUCACACCCUUUGCUCUCGCUGCCUUCGCCCGCUCGACCGAACUGAUACGUUAAUGACUCGUUCAGGAUUGGACGACAUGGGAGGAAGGAAAACACCUUGUCCACCUGGACAGAGAGCAGCGUGUCUGCCUUCGACUACUAUAACAGAGAUGUCCUGUGCUGCGCCGGGAACUCCCUGGGACAGGAGUGCUCCAAGCUCCAUGCAUACGCCUUGCAGCGAGAAGCGAGCGACCAGGAAGCAACUCUAGUAAGACGGAUUGUCGGAGAGUCCCUGCUGCUGCAGUGCCAACACACACAGGCCCUUUUACAUUGGCAGAACGACACUGCAGCUCCCAAGGUAGCAUCCGUGCAACACCGCCCAAGUCCUCUUUCAUUCUACAUCCGUCUCUCUGUGACUCCAUCUCUAUUUUCUCUCACUUCCCUGUGACCGGCCCUGCAGGCGGUGUUUCACAGCGACCGAAUUUAUGGACUCAGCUUCAACUACCUGUUUGUUGAGUCUGUGACCAUGGACCACAGUGGAAACUACACCUGUGCGUCACCAAGUGAUGGCAAAAAUAAGUCUACUCGCAUCCAGGUCCUCGGUAGGUGAACAGAGCCCAUCACCUUGAGCAGCGUUGGCGGAUGAACCAGGCAGCGGCUGAGAAAUGGAUAUUAUUAGAGGGGCGAAUCCAGAAAGGACCUUCUUAUAUCGUAGGGGAAAGUACAUUGCGGAAAUGAUACCAGUGUGUCAAUAAGUACUCAGUAAGUAAUAAAGUACUCAGAUGUAAGUGUACA
This 1425-nucleotide long non-coding RNA is filed under the name Scleropages formosus (Asian bonytongue). RNAcentral's name for it is "lncRNA (ENSSFOG00015030636.1)". The record is from RNAcentral. Lineage: Eukaryota; Metazoa; Chordata; Actinopteri; Osteoglossiformes; Osteoglossidae.